RNAcentral lists this ribosomal RNA (1087 nucleotides) under Melampsora laricis-populina. RNAcentral describes it as "eukaryotic LSU rRNA". It matches the Rfam family "Eukaryotic large subunit ribosomal RNA", at positions 34 to 1101 of the family's 3401-position model. The record is from RNAcentral. Lineage: Eukaryota; Fungi; Basidiomycota; Pucciniomycetes; Pucciniales; Melampsoraceae.
UUAAGCAUAUCAUAAGCGGAGGAAAAGAAAAUAACUAUGAUUCCCUUAGUAACGGCGAGUGAACAGGGAAAAGCCCAAAUUUGUAAUCUGGCACUUUUUACAAGUGUCCGAGUUGUAAUUUGUAGAACUGUUAUCCGCGCUGGACCAGUACAAGUCUGUUGAAAAGCAGCAUCAUUGAAGGUGAAAAUCCUGUAGAUGAUAUGGACUACCAGUGCAUUUGUGAUACGGUUUCUAAGAGUCGAGUUGUUUGGGAAUGCAGCUCAAAGUGGGUGGUAAAUUCCAUCUAAGGCUAAAUAUAAGUGAGAGACCGAUAGCAAACAAGUACCGUGAGGGAAAGAUGAAAAGAACUUUGAAAAUAGAGUUAACAGUACGUGAAAUUGCUGAAAGGGAAACGUUUGAAGUUAGUUUUGUAUUCGUUGGAUCAGCUUCGCAAGGAGUGUAUUCUGAUGAUAAGCAAGUCAACAUCAAUCUAUGAGUGUCGGAGAAGGGUUUUGAGAAUGUAGCAAUUUUUAUUAAUUGUGUUAUAGCUUGAGACUUGGAUACGAUGCUUUGGAUUGAGGAACGCGUAGUAAGCUUUGAGCGGAUUCGAAAGGAUCUCCUUACUAUGGAUGUUGGUGAAAUAACUUUAAGCGACCCGUCUUGAAACACGGACCAAGGAGUCUAACAUGCUUGCGAGUAUUAGGGUGUUGAAACCCGAAUGCGUAAUGAAAGUGAAUUUCAGAUGUGAUCCGCAAGGUGCAACAUCGACCAGUCUGGAUCAUUUAUGUGAAGGUACUGAGUAAGAGCAAGUAUGUUAGGACCCGAAAGAUGGUGAACUAUGCCUGGAUAGGGUGAAGUCAGAGGAAACUCUGAUGGAAGCUCGUAGCGGUUCUGACGUGCAAAUCGAUCGUAGAAUCUGGGUAUAGGGGCGAAAGACUAAUCGAACCAUCUAGUAGCUGGUUCCUGCCGAAGUUUCCCUCAGGAUAGCAAAGACUUUUAAAUUAGUUUUAUGAGGUAAAGCGAAUGAUUAGAGGGCUUGGGAAUGUAAUGUUCUUAACCUAUUCUCAAACUUUAAAUAUGUAAGACGUACUUGUUUCUUAAUUGAACU